GCACCCGCACAAGCGGUGGAGCAUGCUGUUUAAUUCGAAGAUACGCGAAAAACCUUACCUGGGCUUGACAUCCCUCUGACAGUUCUAGAAAUAGAAUCUUCCUUUCGGGGACAGGGGUGACAGGUGGUGCAUGGUUGUCGUCAGCUCGUGUCGUGAGAUGUUUGGUUAAGUCCAAUAACGAGCGCAACCCUUAUCCUUAAUUGCUAACAUUUAGUUGAGAACCUUAAGGAGACUGCCGGUGAUAAACCGGAGGAAGGUGGGGAUGACGUCAAAUCAUCAUGCCCCUUACGUCCAGGGCUACAGGCGUGCUAUAAUGGCAGAUAUAGAAAGAAGCAAUACCGUGAGGUGGAGCAAAUCUCCAAAGUCUGUCUCAGUUCGGAUUGAAGUCUGCAACUCGACUUCAUGAAGCUAGAAUCGCUAGUAAUCCCAGAUCAGAAUGCUGGGGUGAAUACGUUCCCGGGUGUU
RNAcentral lists this ribosomal RNA (465 nucleotides) under uncultured bacterium. RNAcentral describes it as "bacterial SSU rRNA". It matches the Rfam family "Bacterial small subunit ribosomal RNA", at positions 917 to 1382 of the family's 1533-position model. The record is from RNAcentral.